AACGAACGCUGGCGGCAUGCCUAACACAUGCAAGUCGAACGAGACCUUCGGGUCUAGUGGCGCACGGGUGCGUAACGCGUGGGAACCUGCCCUUAGGUUCGGAAUAACUCCCCGAAAGGGGUGCUAAUACCGGAUAAUGUCUUCGGACCAAAGAUUUAUCGCCUUUGGAUGGGCCCGCGUUGGAUUAGCUAGUUGGUAGGGUAAAAGCCUACCAAGGCGACGAUCCAUAGCUGGUCUGAGAGGAUGAUCAGCCACACUGGGACUGAGACACGGCCCAGACUCCUACCGGGAGGAGCAGUUGGGAAUAUUUGGCCAUGGGCCAAAGCCUGGUCCAGCAAUUCCGCGGGGGUGAUUAAGGCCUUUGGGUUGGUAAGCUCUUUUUACCGGGAAGAUAAUGACAGUACCGGGAGAAUAAGCUCCGGCUAACUCCGUG
Molecule: ribosomal RNA, 433 nt
Filed under: uncultured bacterium
Lineage: Bacteria
Description: partial 16S ribosomal RNA
Rfam family: Bacterial small subunit ribosomal RNA
Source: RNAcentral